This 424-nucleotide ribosomal RNA is filed under the name uncultured bacterium. RNAcentral's name for it is "bacterial SSU rRNA". It matches the Rfam family "Bacterial small subunit ribosomal RNA", at positions 355 to 796 of the family's 1533-position model. The record is from RNAcentral.
UAACGAAUCUUCCGCAAUGCACGCAAGUGUGACGGAGCGACGCCGCGUGUGGGACGAAGUCCUUCGGGAUGUAAACCACUGUCAGGGGUUACCAAGUUCUGAGGAGCCCCAGAGGAAGGCACGGCUAACUCUGUGCCAGCAGCCGCGGUAAGACAGAGGUGCCGAGCGUUAGGCGGAAUCACUGGGCUUAAAGCGUGUGUAGGCGGACCGUUAAGUACCUUGUGAAAUCCCACGGCUCAACCGUGGAACGGCUGGGUAGACUGGCGGUCUUGGGCCACCUAGGGGCAGAUGGAACAGACGGUGGAGCGGUGAAAUGCGUAGAUAUCGUCUGGAACGCCAAAGGUGAAAACAGUCUGCUGGGGGUGUGCCGACGCUGAGACACGAAAGCCAGGGGAGCGAACGGGAUUAGAUACCCCCGUAGUCC